CCUAACCUUUUGGAGGGAGCUGUCGAAGGUGGGAUCGGCGAUUGGGACGAAGUCGUAACAAGGUACCGUACCGGAAGGUGCGGCUGGAUCACCUCCUUUCUAAGGAGCACCACGAGAAACACUCCAAUUGGUGGGGUGUGGCCGUGGGGGUUCUCGUCUGUAGUGGACGAGGGCCGGGUGCACAACAACAGGCAAUCGCCAGACACACUAUUGGGCCCUGAGACAACACUCGGCCGACUUCGGUUGAAGUGGUGUCCCUCCAUC
This 264-nucleotide unclassified non-coding RNA is filed under the name Mycobacterium simiae. Its description in RNAcentral is "partial contains 16S ribosomal RNA and 16S-23S ribosomal RNA intergenic spacer". The stretch from base 1 to 99 matches the Rfam family "Bacterial small subunit ribosomal RNA", at positions 1434 to 1533 of the family's 1533-position model. Lineage: Bacteria; Bacillati; Actinomycetota; Actinomycetes; Mycobacteriales; Mycobacteriaceae. The record is from RNAcentral.